GACGAACGCUGGCGGCGUGCUUAACACAUGCAAGUCGAACGGAAAGACCCUGCUUUUGUGGGUUUCUCGUUUGGCGAACGGGUGAGUAACACGUGAGUAACCUGCCCUUGACUUUGGGAUAUCUUCACGAAACUGGGGCUAAUAUCGGAGAGGAUCUCCUGCUGCAUGGUGUUGGUUGGAAAGUUUCGGCGGUUGUGUAUGGACUCGCUGCUUAUCAGCUGGUUUGUGGGGUAGUUGCUUACCAAGGCUUUGACGGGUAGCCGGCCUGAGAGGGUGACCGGCCACAUUAGGACUGAGAUACGGAGCAGAAUGCUACGGGAGGCAGCAGUGGGGAAUAUUGCACAAUGGGCGGAAGUCUGAUGCAGAAACGCCGGGUGCGGGAUGACGGCCUUCGGGUUAUAAACAGCUUUCGCAUGUGACGAAGCGUGAGUGACGGUAAUGGGUAAAGAAGCACCGGCUAACUACGUG
RNAcentral lists this ribosomal RNA (468 nucleotides) under uncultured bacterium. Its description in RNAcentral is "partial 16S ribosomal RNA". It matches the Rfam family "Bacterial small subunit ribosomal RNA", at positions 28 to 507 of the family's 1533-position model. The record is from RNAcentral.